AUGGAGGAGGGUUGGCAUCAUUUAAGUUUAAAUCGAUGGUCCAUGAGAAGAUGUGCUGACAUGGAGGUGCUUUCUCCUUCUUCUCCCAGGAGAAGGAGAUGGACGGAGCAUGGCGGCUGGAGCUUUGCAAUCGGCAUGGUUAUGAAGGCUCUGCUAGUAACAACCAUGAUACGCCAGGGUGUGUUUUAUUCAGAGAAGCUCCUUUUGAAUCUUGCCAGGUAUAUAUGCAAAGUGUUAUCCUGUAUAUCACAAUAUGCAAGGUACUCCUAUUCAUCAGCUCAACCGCCUGGACAAACAGCAAGUUAA
Molecule: ribosomal RNA, 306 nt
Filed under: Triticum aestivum (bread wheat)
Lineage: Eukaryota; Viridiplantae; Streptophyta; Magnoliopsida; Poales; Poaceae
Description: partial small subunit ribosomal RNA
Source: RNAcentral